RNAcentral lists this long non-coding RNA (553 nucleotides) under Panax ginseng (ginseng). RNAcentral describes it as "long non-coding RNA (PGIN_LNC016291)". The record is from RNAcentral. Lineage: Eukaryota; Viridiplantae; Streptophyta; Magnoliopsida; Apiales; Araliaceae.
CCCAGCCUUAUGGCUUUAAUUUACCUAGCAUGACAAAAACAAAUCAUAGCCACAAUUAGGCCUUAUGGAAGUUAACAUAUCAACAAGAAAUUUAGAAUAUCUAUCAUUAUAAUAGUAAACAGCCUUGUAUGUCAAUUCCAGUUUCUCUUCAAAAUUGAAGUGGGAAUGAAAUGAAUAAGGAUCUAAAUUAACUCACCCUUGAUAGCUUGAUGAUUGGGUUGGCUUUGUUGCUGAUAAUCUCCUCCCUCUCCAACUGGAAUCACUUUCUCUUCUUCACUAAAUAUGCUUUUGGAGCUCAAAUAAGUGGUGUAACCAUCUGAACUUGGGUGAAACAUUGGGGUUAUAUGGCUGAGUUCUCUAUCUUCAGUCAGUCACCUUCCUGACCACUUAUAAGCUUGGCCCCUAUUCUUCUCCAUCAUUACCCUACCCGGUAUUAGCUUCAAUUCAGCCCCUCUAACUUGCCUCCUAUCAGUCUACUCAUAGCAGUUAGUUGGCCCCUAUAACUACCUGACACCCUUGGUCUUUGCAGUGUACUUGACCCCUAAUAGCCAAC